UUUUUGAUUAAUAAUUUAAAGUCUAAUCUGCCCACUGAUAAUAUAUUAAAGGGCUGCAGUAUUUUGACUGUACAAAGGUAGCAUAAUCAUUAGUCUCUUAAUUGGUGACUUGUAUGAAAGAUUUGAUGAAAUAUAUACUGUCUCUAAUUAAUUUGUAAAAUUUAAUUUUUUAGUUAAAAAGCUAAAAUAAAUUUAAAAGACGAGAAGACCCUAUAGAGUUUAAUAUUUAUAUGAAUUGAGAUUUUAUAUAAAAAUUAUAAUUUUAAUAAUAUAUAAAUAUUUUGUUGGGGUGAUAAAAAAAUUAAAAUAACUUUUUUUUAUAAUUUUACAUUUAUAAAUGAAUAAAUGAUCCAUAAUUUAUGAUUAUAAGAAAAAAUUACCUUAGGGAUAACAGCGUAAUUUUUUUUUUUAGUUCAAAUAAGAAAAAGAGUUUGCGACCUCGAUGUUGGAUUAAGAUAAAAUUUAAAUGCAAAAGUUUAAAAUUUUUGAUCUGUUCGAUCAUUAAAAUCUUACA
RNAcentral lists this ribosomal RNA (514 nucleotides) under Parnassius boedromius. Its description in RNAcentral is "partial 16S ribosomal RNA". The stretch from base 387 to 514 matches the Rfam family "Bacterial large subunit ribosomal RNA", at positions 2473 to 2600 of the family's 2925-position model. Lineage: Eukaryota; Metazoa; Arthropoda; Insecta; Lepidoptera; Papilionidae. The record is from RNAcentral.